This 633-nucleotide long non-coding RNA is filed under the name Marmota monax (woodchuck). The record is from RNAcentral. Lineage: Eukaryota; Metazoa; Chordata; Mammalia; Rodentia; Sciuridae.
GUGAGAAACUGCUUACACCUUAAGGCUUAUGUCAUAAUUUAUAUGAAACUGGAAGACUUGCUUGGUUAUAGCUCUUGAUGUGAAAAAGAAAAGUGAGAUGAACAAAAAAAAAAAGUGAACUAUGAAACCAGAGUCAGCAUCCCUAUUUACUGUUAUUUUUAAUCAUUUCAAAAAGUAAAUGAAGCCAAGCAUAGUGGCACAUACAAGCAACUCAUGAGAUUGAGGUAGGAAUAUCACAAAUUCAAAGGUAAACUUAGCAAGGCCCUAAGCGACAUAGCAAAACCCUGUCUCAAAAUAAAAAGGUCUGGGUAUGUGGCUGAUUGGUUAAGCGCCCCUAGGUUUAAUCCCUGGUACCAAAAAAUGAAAAAAUGACAGUUACAUAAAACAAUAAUUGCAAAAAAUGCAUCACUGAGCUUAUAAAUAUGAAGAUUUAAUCUAUAUGACCAUAAUAGCACAAAAUAGGGGAUGAGGUGGGCAUGGUGGAACAUGCCUGUGGUAAUCCCAGUUAGAGCACUGAGGCAGGAGGAUUAAACUUCAAGGCUAGCCUGAGCAACUUUACAAGACCCUGUCUGAAAAUACAAAGGGCUGGGGGUGUAGAUAUCAUAGAGUGCCCCUGGGUUUGAUCCACAGUAC